Molecule: long non-coding RNA, 1160 nt
Organism: Leopardus geoffroyi (Geoffroy's cat)
Lineage: Eukaryota; Metazoa; Chordata; Mammalia; Carnivora; Felidae
Exons: 2
Source: RefSeq, a predicted model, not a curated record
CAUUUCUGUCUACCCCCUCUGCAGAGAUCAGUCUUGAUGUGCAUCCCUCCCCAAUCCUAAGUAUCCCCAGCCUAAGACAUUCUGGGCCAGAGGGCUAAGGCCAUGAGUCUGGCUGGUCACGCAAGUUUUGCUCAGGCCUUUGCCACUCCAUAGACUGGUUGCCACUGGGUCCUCCAGCCAGAGAGGGUGAGACAGGUAGACUCUCCUUGGGGUGUCACCAGACACCAGGAGGGCUGGGCCACUCACAGUCCUUAAAAAUACCAAAGUCUAGGUAAACCCUGGCUCCUUUAGGAAUAAAACAACGUGGGUGUAGGUGUCUGGAUGAACACACUGCCACGGAAUGGAGAGGAAUCAACCACUCAGCUUAGGUAUCCCAGGCAGAGUUGAGGUUACUGAAGGCAAAGGGAGGCCAGGGGCAAAUCAAUAUCACGGCUUCCCAGCAGAGCCGGGUCAGCACAACAUCUGGGCUGCUUAUUUUGGUCUAGUGCCUCGGUUUUGUUUCCUCAAGAGAAAAUAAAAUCAACACCAGCAGGCUAAGGGUUCACAUGCCAUUUUGUGGUGCAAACCCCAGAGGAAGGAAUGUGGAGCCUUUGGGGGGCAAGAAUGCUAAGGUGGCCAAAGGGCUCUUUGCUUUGACAGCAAGGACUACUUCCCCUUCCGGAAAGCAGCUCCAGAGGCAGCUUCAUUCCUGUGAUACUGCACAAGUGGUUCUCAUGCUGGCAACUCUCUGGCUGGGGCAAACACAGACCUGCAUGCAAUAACCAGGAAUAGAAAUCCACAAGGCUUGGAACCUCGAGGACUGAAACGUUCAGAUGACACCGUCACCUUCCAGGAAAUUGCCUCACGCUCUGCUUCUGAGUUCCACAUUGUGACUUAUAUCCUCUUGGGUGCUGGCUCCCCAAUGACACACAGGGAGGACAGGGCAGAGGAAGUGAAAGCCUCGCCCUGCAGAAAGCAGCUCAUUUGUAACCUGGUGCCUGCUCAGCUGGAAUCUGAUUCUCAGAAACAUGCUUUGCUGUCCAUACAGAGAAGACCAUCCAUUCAAUUUCUCAGAAGAAGAAGCAAAGGCUAGUUGGGGGCACCCUGCCACACCCCUUUUGAGGAGGUCAGUAUGACUAUUUUUUUCCCCAGUAUAUUUACUAUUAAAGUAAAAAAACCCA